RNAcentral lists this ribosomal RNA (489 nucleotides) under uncultured bacterium. RNAcentral describes it as "bacterial SSU rRNA". It matches the Rfam family "Bacterial small subunit ribosomal RNA", at positions 29 to 511 of the family's 1533-position model. The record is from RNAcentral.
AUUGAACGCUGGCGGCGUGCUUAACACAUGCAAGUCGAGCGGCAGCGCGGGAGCAAUCCUGGCGGCGAGCGGCGAACGGGUGAGUAAUGCUUCGGAAUCUGCCCUUCAGUGGGGAAUAACCAGUCGAAAGACUGGCUAAUACCGCAUACGAACUGAGGUUGAAAGCAGGGGAUCGCAAGACCUUGCGCUGAUGGAUGAGCCGAAGUCGGAUUAGCUUGUUGGUGGGGUAAUGGCCUACCAAGGCGACGAUCCGUAGCUGGUCUGAGAGGACGACCAGCCACACUGGGACUGAGACACGGCCCAGACUCCUACGGGAGGCAGCAGUGGGGAAUAUUGGACAAUGGGGGGCAACCCUGAUCCAGCGACGCCGCGUGUGUGAAGAAGGCCUGCGGGUUGUAAAGCACUUUUAGUGGGGAGGAAGGUCUGCGACCUAACACGUCGUGGAAUUGACUUAACCCACAGAAAAAGCACCGGCUAACUCUGUGCCAG